Molecule: long non-coding RNA, 2642 nt
Filed under: Actinidia chinensis (golden kiwifruit)
Lineage: Eukaryota; Viridiplantae; Streptophyta; Magnoliopsida; Ericales; Actinidiaceae
Description: long non-coding RNA (ACHI_LNC003269)
Source: RNAcentral
CUUGGCAAGACGUGCAAUUGGUCUAGUAAAGGGGUGUGUUUGAUGUAAUAGAGGUAAAAGAUGGUGAACCAUCGGAUCCUGAAGAAAGUAGCGAAGCCUUCCAACAAGAAAGUAUUACCUUAACUUUGCCAAUUGACAUUGAGGAUAAUAUUCGAUAUCAUAGGGAAGACGUUGAAGUUGAGGUUAUUGAAGAGUUAAGCCAUUCGAUGAAACAAGGGAAGCCAAUAUAUAUGAUGAAGACCAUGAAAUAAUGGGAGAUAAUAUAAGUAACGAAGCUGGUGAAGAUGAUGAAAUAUCCAAUGCCGAUGAUAUGGAUCCGGAUAUGGAUUAUGAUAUGUAAUUCGAUUUUUGAUUAGACAUUGUUUUUGGAUCCUAUUACGUUUUAUCAUUACAUUUUCUAAGUUUAAAAUGUUGUGCUUGUUUAUAAUUUAUUUUUUGGUCUGAUGACAAUGAUUCCAUACGUUGACAAUAGACCUCAAGACGAUGAGGAUGAUCAUGAUGACAGUGACUCUAGUGACUCUUUUGAGCAGAGGUGCGUACUAAAAUCGAAAACUUAAUGAUAGGCAAAAUAAUAUGCAUCUUUUUUUGUUCUCUCUUUUUUAAUUGUCGUCUUGUCAUAUGAAUUAUGUAUGUUUUGUGUUGAUGCUUGUGCAUUCCCUAUUGUAUAAUGAGGUGGUGGCAUAACCCAUCAGAACUGCUCUUUUUUACUUGUUGAAUUUUAACCCCUCAGAAUUGCUCUGUUUUACUUAUUAAAUAUAAUGAGGUGGUGGCAUAACCCCUCGGAAUUGCUAUUUUUUACUUAUUGAAUAUAACGAGGUGGUGGCAUAACCCCUUGGAACUGCUCCUUUUUACUUGUUGAAUAUAGCGAGGUGGUGGCAUAACCCCUCGGAAUUGGGUUUCAAGUGAACUUCUAUUUCAUCGAUAUAUGUAUCUUUUGUCGAUAAAAAAAUAGGACUACUGUUAAGGCAACUUUCCCCAAUUUCGAUAGGACAAUUUUGGCCUCAAGUUUUUUAUCAUGUUCGCAAUUAAAAGUGUUUUGUUUAGAAUUACAAAGUCUAGUUUUACUUUUGUAAAUGUAAAAGUCUUAGAGUUUGAAACACUAGCUUCCUUUGUGCAAAUAGCAUAGGAAGAAACCAUGAAGAAACACUAGGCUCCUGAAUUACUAAUUAAAGUUGUUAGUCUGCUGCAUUGUCAUGGAGUUUCUGUUGUGCUUGGAGUAAUUCCUCUUCCGUUGCCUCGGCUCUAGCAGAAAUAUGGGAGAAGUUUAACUUGUUUAGGGUUUUAAGAGGACUCUUCAGAGCUUUAAUUUUUUUUCAAGUUCUGAACAUGGCAGUUCCCUCAACUUGCAUUUCCCAAGAGCUGCUAACCAGGCCUUAGAAGGAUUCAUGGUUCACCCACAUGUUGAAGAACUUAAAGGGGGAUGUUCCCCUAUCAUUCUCCCCCAAUAGAGUAACUAUGCAGGGGGAGUGAUCGGAGAACUUCCAAGGGAAAUCAAAGGUGGCUUGGGCAGUGAGACCCUUCUGGAUCCAAGCAUUGUUCACCAUUGCGUGAUCCAGCUUGCACCAAACCAAAUUGUUUGUCCAAUUAUGAAAAGCCCCUAAGGAUCUUAAAUCUGACAGCCCUAGAUCAUAACAACAUGCUUUGAAAUCUCUGAUUUCGUACAUUGAGACAGGCGUCCAAUUGCUUCUUUCCUCAAAUGAUUAUUACAGGCCAUACCAGGUGAUUAUGUCUCUCUUCGUUAGCCCUGUCCUUGUCAUCAAAAUAUUUCCAAAUAACUUUAUGGUUACUAGUCAAAGAAUUUAUAAUAUGGAGUAGUAGUAAAGAAAAUACAUAACAAGACUAACAAAGUUCCACUACUAGUAUAUAUUGGACAUUGAUACAGAUAGAAAAUUACAUAUGAAAGCUCUAUAAGGGACUAUUGUAAUAAGAAAUACAUCUACAGGUGGCUAACAUAAAGUAGUUUAGAUAUUUAGACAUGGCUCUUGAUAGUACUUGGACCAUAUUACUUGGACCAUAGUGCUAUUAGGAAGCACUAUAUCUAGUUUGGUCAUCAUACUACUUGGACCACAGCAUCACACCUCUGUAAUUGGCAGAACCCUUAAUAGCUGGAAGCACUUUUGAAGUGAGAUCAGAGAUGGGAACAAAACCACUUCUAGCUGCUUUAGGGGCUUCAGGUAAGCCCAAUAAAAUCUUGGUGACCGGGAUUUUAGAAAUCCAUUGCCUCCAUGCAUCUUCAAAAUUUGCAAGAUCACUUGAGGGUUUAUUUGACUAGUUUGGACUUUAAUUUUUUUGUCCUUUCUCUUAAAUUCAUAACAAUGGAAGUGUUGGGCAUUUUAUUGCUCCUCCACUGCCGCUUAUCCUACCACCUCAUUGAGAUCAUGUUUUAGUUUCAUAUGGGACACUUUGAUACUUGGUUAUUAGAAGUCUAUGGCACUAGGAAAUAUUUACCCCUUUUGUUGUUUUCAUAAUAUUUAUUGAGGGAGUCACUUUGGAUAUUUUACGUUUGCAGAUAAUAUAUGUCGAAGGUUGGCAGCGGGGAUGAUGACAUGAGUGCUAUUCUACGAAGACUUCUUCUCGGAUACUUGUUUCUUUUUAGAUCAAACUUUAAAUCUUCGAUCUUUUUGGUUUUUCAAUAAUGUUAC